UCGGGAAUUUUGGGCAAUGGGCGAAAGCCUGACCCAGCAACGCCGCGUGAGGGAUGAAGUAUUUCGGUAUGUAAACCUCGAAAGAAUGGGAAGAAUAAAUGACGGUACCAUUUAUAAGCUCCGGCUAACUACGUGCCAGCAGCCGCGGUAAUACGUAGGGAGCAAGCGUUGUUCGGAUUUACUGGGCGUAAAGGGCGCGUAGGCGGCGCGGUAAGUCACUUGUGAAAUCUCUGAGCUUAACUCAGAACGGCCAAGUGAUACUGCUGUGCUAGAGUGCGGAAGAGGCAACCGGAAUUCUUGGUGUAGCGGUGAAAUGCGUAGAUAUCAAGAGGAACACCUGAGGCGAAGGCGGGUUGCUGGGCCGACACUGGCGCUGAUGCGCGAAAGCCAGGGGAGCAAACG
This 402-nucleotide ribosomal RNA is filed under the name uncultured bacterium. RNAcentral's name for it is "bacterial SSU rRNA". It matches the Rfam family "Bacterial small subunit ribosomal RNA", at positions 355 to 774 of the family's 1533-position model. The record is from RNAcentral.